GACGAACGCUGGCGGCGGGCUUAACACAUGCCAGUCGAACGGAAAGGCCCUGCUUGUGUGGGGUUCUCGAGUGGCGAACGGGUGAGUAACACGUGAGUAACCUGCCCUUGACUUUGGGAUAACUUCAGGAAACUGGGGCUAAUACCGGAUAGGAUCUCCUGCUGCAUGGUGGGGGUUGGAAAUUUUCUGCUUGUGGGGAUGGACUCGCGGCUUAUCAGCUUGUUGGUGGGGUAGUGGCUUACCAAGGCUUUGACGGGUAGCCCGCCUGAGAGGGUGACCGGGCACAUUGGGACUGAGAUACGGCCCAGACUCGUAUGGGGGGCAGCAGUGGGAAAUAUUGUACAAUGGGAGGACGCCUGAUGAAGAAACGCCGCGUGCGGGAUGACGGCCUUCGGGUUGUAAACAGCUUUAGCCUGUGACGAAGCGUGAGUGACGGUAAUGAGUAAAGAAGCACCGGCUAACUACGUG
This 468-nucleotide ribosomal RNA is filed under the name uncultured bacterium. RNAcentral describes it as "partial 16S ribosomal RNA". It matches the Rfam family "Bacterial small subunit ribosomal RNA", at positions 28 to 507 of the family's 1533-position model. The record is from RNAcentral.